This is a long non-coding RNA of Canis lupus familiaris (dog), 482 nucleotides long. RefSeq lists it as uncharacterized. The record is from RefSeq and is a predicted model, not a curated record. NCBI's taxonomy places the organism in Eukaryota, Metazoa, Chordata, Mammalia, Carnivora, Canidae. The transcript has 3 exons.
GCCAGAGAGUAAGAGCAACAUAAUGGGGAUUGUGUGUCAAAACACUCACCCUCUGGCUACGGAGAUUGAUUGCAAGGAGACAAAACUGGAAGCAGGAGGCAUUUAAGGAAAUGGAAGUAAUCCAAGACAGAAGGAUGUGAAUCUGAAUGAAUGUGGAGGCACUGGGAUAGAGAGGAACCGAGCAAACGAGCUUGUAUGAAGCUGACAGGAGCAUCCCCCAGACCCUUUGUCCAGACUCAUGAGCCUGUAUUCCUGUCCAAGCAAGACCCCAAGACUUGCUGUCUUCACAUGCUGGAACCCACAGAACCAGAACCCAGCUAUCAGGAUGUACAAAGCUGGGCUAUGACCAAGACAUGUGUGUAGGUGCUCCAGCUGAGCCCAAACUUCAAGCUAUCCCUGUCUGGCCCCAGACAUGUGAGCAAAGACGCUCCAGCCACCUGAGUCCCUCCCAGCAUCUUGAGUCUUCCUCAUUGACUAACAUC